AGGAGACAGGAUUGUGGAUAUGGAGGUUAGAGGAAAGGAAGAAGGGAAGGAUGACUCCAGGUUUCCUGCACAAACCAUGGUCCCCCCUGUUCCCUACAGGAGGAAGAGUUGGAAGAAGAAGAGCGAUAGAUAGAGAGAGGAGACAACAAGGUCCCUCUGGGACAGGCUGAAUUCCAGAUGUCUGUGGGACACUAGGCCAUUGGCUAUGGUGGUCUGAGACCCUAAACAGGGGCCUGGGAUAGGGUUUUAGUCUGGUCACCAUGUACACACGGAGGCAGGGUAUAGAGUGAGAAGAUGGGAUGAUUGAAAGGCCUGGGACACGAGCCAGGGAAACGCAGGAUAGAAAUGACUGGCAGAGGCUGGGCACGGUGGCUUACGCCUGUAAUCCCCACACUUUGGGAGGCCGAGGUGGGUGGAUCACUUGAGGCCAGGAGUUCAAGACCAGGCUGGCCAACGUGGAGAAACCCCAUCUCUACUAAAAUACAAAAAAUUAGCGGGUCAUGGUGGCAUGCACCUGUAAUCCCAGCUACUCAGGAGGCUGAGGCAAGAGAAUCUCUUGAAUCCUGGAGGCAGAGCUUGCAGUGAGCUGAUAUCACGACACUGCACUCCAACCUGAGCGACAGACCAAGACUCUGUCUCAAAAGAAAAAAAAAAAAAAGAGGUGACUGACAGAGAAUGACCCCAGCAAAGGACCAGAGAAGGAGCAGUCCACGGAGGACCACUUGGAGAGGGUGGGUGGGGGGAAACCCAGCUCACAGGAGAAGGUGUGGCCGAUGGUGUGGCAUGCUGCUGAAAGGCCAGGUAGGUGAGAACAGUGGUGAGCACUGUUUCAGUGGUGGUGGUGGCGGAGGGAGAGUGACAAAAAGCAUUUGGUUCUGAGCCUGGGAGUAGCAGGCUGGGGGAGGAGCCUAAGGCUAGGCCGGCUCUCAGGAGCAGUGUGGGCCCCAAAUAUCCUCUUCUGUGAUCUUUUUACCUUUUGGCAAAGUGUUAUUUAAAUGUAUUUAAAUCUUUUAAGGAAAUAUUUCUAAUUUUGUGCCAAAAUAAAGCACUGUAAAUCCUAGCCACUGUUCCUUUGCUUCCCCAGGGGCCGCAGUGACUGUGUCCAGUCCUUCCUCACCCCGCUGCAGAGUCAGUCCAGGAGGCCUUUACCCACAGCACUGCCACCUCCCUCCACGACCCCUGUCUUUCUCUUCCCCAGAUUAAACGCUCCCACUUCUCUCCAUUCUUCUUUCUCCACCCCCAGGCCCAUUUCUGCCUCGGUUGCCUGCCUCCAACCACAAUCCAGUUUUUUGGCUCCCAGAGACAGACAUGCCCAGAUCUGAACACCACCCACCUGGAUAAAGAAAAUGGGUACGGCCAAGACCAUAGACCUAGUGAUUGUCAGAUGAACAAUUAGACCCACAGAACCAUCCAAGCUACAGAGGACGCAUUCUGCCUUCCCUUGGAUCCUGUGGUUUGAGGAUGGAGGUCUAGGACCGUGGCAGGCUUUUUGUCCCAUGAGGGAAGGCCAUGGAGCUGAGGAAGGGGAAGAACACACACACCUAAUGGAAUCUCGAGAGAAAGUUCAGACAUCAAAAGACAGAAGCGACAGAGACCCAGGUCUGUGGGGACGCUGUAUGGCUGAGUCAAGUCUUGAUCAAAGUCAGCAUUAUAUCUGGACUUGCACAGUUUCUGAGCCUUGAAACUCCAUUUCGUUUAAGUGAGCUUUUAACUGUCACAGGCAGCUGCAUGCACACACAAGUCCAUGUGAUUAGAUGUUUCCAAGAGUCUGGAAUAACAUACCCCAAACUGUUAAUAGUGGUUACCCUAUAGAAGGGGAGUAGGAAGGUGUGUGUUGGGGUGGAGGAUGGUUUGCCAACUGGAAACUCACUCCAGGCUAACAUUUAUUGCUAGGCACCAUUCUAAACUUUGCCAGUAAUCCUCUCCCUAGAGGCUGAGGAAGACCACUUCUUCAAGCCCUAUUUAAUAGACAGCGUGGCCAGGCAUGGUUGCUCACGCCUGUAAUCCCACCACUUUGGGAGGCCGAGGCAGGUGGAUCACCUGAGGUCAGGAGUUCGAGACCAGCCUGGCCAACGUGGUAAAACCUCUUCUCUACUAAAAAUACAAAAAAAAUUAGCUGGGCUUGGUGGCGGGCACCUGUAGUCCCAGCUACACGGGAGGCUGAGGCAGGAGAAUUGCUUGAAUCCAGG
Molecule: long non-coding RNA, 2189 nt
Filed under: Homo sapiens (human)
Lineage: Eukaryota; Metazoa; Chordata; Mammalia; Primates; Hominidae
Description: PREDICTED lncRNA (TCONS_00075113)
Source: RNAcentral